This 87-nucleotide transfer RNA is filed under the name Chloroflexota bacterium. Its description in RNAcentral is "tRNA-Leu". The record is from RNAcentral. Lineage: Bacteria; Bacillati; Chloroflexota. RNAcentral also lists the same sequence under 1 other name.
GCCGAGGUGGUGGAACCGGCAGACACGCGGUCUUGAGGGGGCCGUGAGCGCAAGCUCGUAGGAGUUCAAAUCUCCUCCUCGGCACCA